RNAcentral lists this long non-coding RNA (425 nucleotides) under Mytilus galloprovincialis (Mediterranean mussel). Lineage: Eukaryota; Metazoa; Mollusca; Bivalvia; Mytilida; Mytilidae. The record is from RNAcentral.
GAGAUGUUUCAGUAGGCUGGUUUAUUGUGUUGAACACUCAGUUUGUUUGCAUUACUUCAUUCCAGAGAAUAACAUGUUUGAGAACAAAAUAGAGGGUCGCAGUCGUGAAAUACUUUUAGAAAAACUAUCUACGUUGUAUAGCUAUGGAUGGCGUUGCGUCUUAUUUUCAGAUCAAAUAUCUAACUUUCAUGUAUUAAUGUCGAAUCCCCACAUCCAAACACAUACAUUAUGUUUUAGUAAUACUGAAAAAAUGUUAAGGUCAACUACAACGUCUAUGAAACAUUGUUCUUGCCUAAAAACUAGUUCUAUAAACAAUGAAUCGAAAGUCAAGAAUGGAACAUUACAGAUGGCGUUACGUGAGCAAUCGUCAUUAAAAGAUGUAUAUAAAUAUUACAUGUCAGUAUAUUCUAGCGGACAUUGGCAAC